AUUUGUCAGUCGCCAAUGGCGAGCUGGUGACCGUUAUUUCGAGCCCUGUUCAUAUUUAUUAUAGGAAGGUUUUCUGGGACCUCACAAGUGCAUAUGGAAUGUUUGAAAAAUAUAAAGAAAUUAAUUUUCAAUGAAAUCACCAUGACAGUUUAAGCAUUUGUUGGAUCACAGAACUUUUCCAUCUCUGCUUAAAAAAGUUAUAUUUCUACUGAUCCAGUCAUCUUUUUGCAAUUGUUUUAAUAUCAUCACAAGUGAAUUGAGUAUAACAGACAAAUGUUGUUUCAGGACAAGAAAAAGAUAAAAAUUGCUAGGGUCAAAUCUGGAUUAUAUAGAGGAUGGUUCCACACCUCUUAUUUAUACUAUGGAGCAAUUGCCAUGUGAUCUGAGCAGUGUGGGGCCAUUAUUAUGAAUGAGAAUGAUUCAUUGCUUAGCAGACCUGGGCACUUUCAUUAGUUGGCUUUUCACAGUUUUCUGAGAGUGGUACAGUUUCUAUCAGUAUUGAUGGUGGGUGUGUCCAUGUUCCAAGAAGUUCACCAGAACAACACCUGAGAAAUCCAAAAAAUAGUGGCCAUGACUAUACCAACAGUUGGUGCCACUCUAAACUUUUUGUUAGUGUAAAUAAAAUGCAUUGUGACUGGAGAUGUGUCUCAUCUUCAAUCACAAUGUGGUCAAUAAAGUGCUCCAUUUUGCACCAUAAUGCUAAAGGAACAUCAGACUGACCAUUAUUUAUUUGGAUUUUUUGAUCAUCAGAUAAUGCAUGUGUGGCAUCGAUCUGGCACAAACCUUUUUGUACUGCAAAACAUCCAUCAUAAGAUAUUGAACAAUAUCAUAGUUCAGUCUCAGCUUAGAUUCAGUAUCAUGCAAAAUUAUCCUUCAGUCCCGUUUAAUAAUAAUUUAUCAGCAUGUGCCAUGUUGACUUCUCUUGUUGAUGAACUUGGUCAUCCACUAUAUUGCAUUUGGUGGCCUACCACAACAUCCCUGCUGAAAUGAAAUAUGUGAUUUCAUUUUGCCAUAUGUUUAGACAUAAUACUUCUACCAUAAAUUUUGAACUGAUAGUGAAUUUCAGUUGUGGGCACAUUCUUGGGCCCUUGAAAAUUUCUCUCUCACUUCAAUUUGAGACCACUUUUCCAAAUAUCUCUCCAUUUUGAACUAUUACUGUACAUCUAUGGCUGACAGGAGAUUGCUAAAUAAUUAGUACGAAAGCAGAAAU
Molecule: long non-coding RNA, 1210 nt
Filed under: Androctonus crassicauda
Lineage: Eukaryota; Metazoa; Arthropoda; Arachnida; Scorpiones; Buthidae
Source: RNAcentral